CCUCCGGUGGUGCAAGGGGAUAGCACCGUUGCCUCACGGCAAGAGAGUCCUGGGUUCAAAUCCCAGCGGGAGCC
RNAcentral lists this transfer RNA (74 nucleotides) under Anguilla anguilla (European eel). RNAcentral describes it as "tRNA-OTHER". The record is from RNAcentral. Lineage: Eukaryota; Metazoa; Chordata; Actinopteri; Anguilliformes; Anguillidae.